Long non-coding RNA from Oreochromis aureus, 525 nucleotides. NCBI's taxonomy places the organism in Eukaryota, Metazoa, Chordata, Actinopteri, Cichliformes, Cichlidae. The record is from Ensembl.
ACAGUAACUGUGUCAGGAGCUGACAGCUCUUCAUCUCCUGUGUGGUUGAUUGUUGGACUGGUUUGUGGAGUCUCUCUCAUUAUUAUUCUCCUGCUCUUGUUGUAUCGCUGCAGAAGAACCAACAGUCCUGCUAACGAGCAGACGCUCAAUCAGGAUGAAGAUCAGCAGCACGUGUACUCCUCUCUUCUUCAUGGUGAUCGUUGUGUCUAUGAGACAGUCAGAAGAUGUGAAAACACUGAAAAUGGGCAACGUGGUGACCCAGAGGAGAGCUCUGACUACAAUGAUGUCAAUGCAAAUUCAGCCACAGCUCUAAAAUCUUAACAGCAGCUCUUUAGCUGUUUUUCUCUUUUUCCUUGUAAAGUCUCUUUGAACUUGAAGUGACUUUGAGUGAAAAGGAGAAGAUUUUGAAUUCAAAGCAAUGAUCCUGACAGCCUGAGUUUAUAUUUCCUUUAGAAAAAAUCGCUCAGUGUGUUUCACUUGUUUCUCUCCCAUUAGAUAAUAAUUUUAAUAAACUGAUCUACAGCA